GGAAUAUUGGUCAAUGGCCGAGAGGCUGAACCAGCCAAGUAGCGUGCAGGACGACGGCCCUCUGGGUUGUAAACUGCUUUUAUAGGGGAAUAAAGUUCGCCACGUGUGGCGUUUUGUAUGUACCCUAUGAAUAAUGACCGGCUAAUUCCGUGCCAGCAGCCGCGGUAAUACGGAAGGUCAGGGCGUUAUCCGGAUUUAUUGGGUUUAAAGGGAGCGCAGGCGGGCUGUUAAGCCGGCUGUGAAAGUGCGGGGCCCAACCCCGUAUUGCGGUCGGAACUGAUGGUCUUGAGUGCACGCAGGGACGCUGGAAUUCACGGUGUAGCGGUGAAAUGCUUAGAUAUCGUGAAGAACUCCGAAGGCGAAGGCAGGUGUCCGGAGUGCUACUGACGCUGAGGCUCGAAAGUGCGGGUAUCGAACA
RNAcentral lists this ribosomal RNA (418 nucleotides) under uncultured bacterium. RNAcentral describes it as "bacterial SSU rRNA". It matches the Rfam family "Bacterial small subunit ribosomal RNA", at positions 358 to 774 of the family's 1533-position model. The record is from RNAcentral.